Molecule: ribosomal RNA, 893 nt
Filed under: Aspergillus niger
Lineage: Eukaryota; Fungi; Ascomycota; Eurotiomycetes; Eurotiales; Aspergillaceae
Description: eukaryotic LSU rRNA
Rfam family: Eukaryotic large subunit ribosomal RNA
Source: RNAcentral
CCGGUGAGAACUAGCAUAUCAAUAAGCGGAGGAAAAGAAACCAACCGGGAUUGCCUCAGUAACGGCGAGUGAAGCGGCAAGAGCUCAAAUUUGAAAGCUGGCUCCUUCGGAGUCCGCAUUGUAAUUUGCAGAGGAUGCUUUGGGUGCGGCCCCCGUCUAAGUGCCCUGGAACGGGCCGUCAGAGAGGGUGAGAAUCCCGUCUUGGGCGGGGUGUCCGUGCCCGUGUAAAGCUCCUUCGACGAGUCGAGUUGUUUGGGAAUGCAGCUCUAAAUGGGUGGUAAAUUUCAUCUAAAGCUAAAUACUGGCCGGAGACCGAUAGCGCACAAGUAGAGUGAUCGAAAGAUGAAAAGCACUUUGAAAAGAGAGUUAAACAGCACGUGAAAUUGUUGAAAGGGAAGCGCUUGCGACCAGACUCGCCCGCGGGGUUCAGCCGGCAUUCGUGCCGGUGUACUUCCCCGUGGGCGGGCCAGCGUCGGUUUGGGCGGCCGGUCAAAGGCCCCUGGAAUGUAGUACCCUCCGGGGUACCUUAUAGCCAGGGGUGCAAUGCGGCCAGCCUGGACCGAGGAACGCGCUUCGGCACGGACGCUGGCAUAAUGGUCGUAAACGACCCGUCUUGAAACACGGACCAAGGAGUCUAACAUCUACGCGAGUGUUCGGGUGUCAAACCCGUGCGCGCAGUGAAAGCGAACGGAGGUGGGAGCCCCCUCGCGGGGCGCACCAUCGACCGAUCCUGAUGUCUUCGGAUGGAUUUGAGUAAGAGCGUAAAUGUGGGGACCCGAAAGAUGGUGAACUAUGCCUGAAUAGGGCGAAGCCAGAGGAAACUCUGGUGGAGGCUCGCAGCGGUUCUGACGUGCAAAUCGAUCGUCAAAAUGUGGGUAUAGGGGCAGAAAAAG